RNAcentral lists this ribosomal RNA (253 nucleotides) under uncultured bacterium. RNAcentral's name for it is "partial 16S ribosomal RNA". It matches the Rfam family "Bacterial small subunit ribosomal RNA", at positions 524 to 776 of the family's 1533-position model. The record is from RNAcentral.
UACGUAGGGGGCGAGCGUUGUCCGGAAUCAUUGGGCGUAAAGCGCGUGUAGGCGGCUUGGUAAGUCUGGUGUGAAACCUCGGGGCUCAACCCCGAGCCUGCACUGGAUACUGCCUCGCUCGAGUCCGGGAGGGGAGAGCGGAAUUCCUAGUGUAGCGGUGAAAUGCGCAGAUAUUAGGAAGAACACCGGUGGCGAAGGCGGCUCUCUGGAACGGUACUGACGCUGAGACGCGAAAGCGUGGGGAGCAAACAGG